GGUGGUUCAGUGGUAGAAUGCUUGCCUUGCAUGCAUGAGGACCUAGGUUCGAUUCCUAAGCACCA
RNAcentral lists this transfer RNA (65 nucleotides) under Dipodomys ordii (Ord's kangaroo rat). It matches the Rfam family "tRNA". From Rfam's summary of the family: Transfer RNA (tRNA) molecules are approximately 80 nucleotides in length. Their secondary structure includes four short double-helical elements and three loops (D, anti-codon, and T loops). The record is from Rfam by way of RNAcentral. Lineage: Eukaryota; Metazoa; Chordata; Mammalia; Rodentia; Heteromyidae.